RNAcentral lists this ribosomal RNA (363 nucleotides) under uncultured bacterium. RNAcentral's name for it is "bacterial SSU rRNA". It matches the Rfam family "Bacterial small subunit ribosomal RNA", at positions 1112 to 1476 of the family's 1533-position model. The record is from RNAcentral.
UAGUUGCCAUCAUUCAGUUGGGCACUCUAGCGAGACUGCCGGUAAUAAACCGGAGGAAGGUGGGGAUGACGUCAAAUCAUCAUGCCCCUUAUGACCUGGGCUACACACGUGCUACAAUGGUUGGUACAACGAGUUGCGAGUCGGUGACAGCAAGCUAAUCUCUUAAAGCCAAUCUCAGUUCGGAUUGUAGGCUGCAACUCGCCUACAUGAAGUCGGAAUCGCUAGUAAUCGCGGAUCAGCACGCCGCGGUGAAUACGUUCCCGGGCUUUGUACACACCGCCCGUCACACCACGAGAGUUUGUAACACCCGAAGUCGGUGAGGUAACCUUUUGGAGCCAGCCGCCUAAGGUGGGAUAGAUGAUU